UUUUUGAGCUUACUUGAACCUUGUAUCACGUCUUAGUGAGCACACUGUAAUCAUAAUAAAGAAAAUUCAAUGAAGCAUUUCUUAUUGAUUUGAGGAUCCCUAACCAUUACUUUGUGCAUUUACUGUUUGUUUUUGCAUUACUUUUGCUAUUUUAAUUGUUGUUCAAUACAAAUAUCCUCGUUUGCUAGUUUAUGUGUAUUGUAGGAAGUAUGCCAUGUGCACCACUUAAUUCUUAAACAGCCUUUUAGCUGCGGUGAAUCAAAGCCCAGUCCACCAAACUACAACAAUUUGGCCUAGGAUCCUUGGGCCUGAGUGCUAGAGAAAAAGCACUCUCACACGGUUCCUCUGCUUUCAGGUUUUAUUUUGGAGCAGAGGGAGCCUUAGUCGAGUUUUGGAAGGAACUGGUUUUAGUUUUUAAAUGUAUAGAUCCCAAAUUUGUAUCUGAUGUUUAGUUUUGUGGUAUUGUGUAUUUUAGGACCUAAUAAAAGUUGUGUACCUUAAAGUAUUAAGAGAUGUAUUAUGUGAAAGUGUGGAAAUUGAAUGAUA
Quercus robur (English oak) is the source of this 546-nucleotide long non-coding RNA. RefSeq lists it as uncharacterized. The transcript is spliced from 2 exons. NCBI's taxonomy places the organism in Eukaryota, Viridiplantae, Streptophyta, Magnoliopsida, Fagales, Fagaceae. The record is from RefSeq and is a predicted model, not a curated record.